RNAcentral lists this ribosomal RNA (434 nucleotides) under uncultured bacterium. RNAcentral describes it as "partial 16S ribosomal RNA". It matches the Rfam family "Bacterial small subunit ribosomal RNA", at positions 341 to 792 of the family's 1533-position model. The record is from RNAcentral.
ACGGGAGGCAGCAGUGGGGGAUAUUGCACAAUGGGGGAAACCCUGAUGCAGCGACGCCGCGUGAGUGAUGAAGUAUUUCGGUAUGUAAAGCUCUAUCAGCAGGGAAGAAAAUGACGGUACCUGACUAAGAAGCUCCGGCUAAAUACGUGCCAGCAGCCGCGGUAAUACGUAUGGAGCAAGCGUUAUCCGGAUUUACUGGGUGUAAAGGGAGCGUAGACGGUGACGCAAGUCUGAAGUGAAAGGUGUGGGCUCAACCCGGAAACUGCUUUGGAAACUGUGUGACUAGAGUGUCGGAGAGGUAAGUGGAAUUCCUAGUGUAGCGGUGAAAUGCGUAGAUAUUAGGAGGAACACCAGUGGCGAAGGCGGCUUACUGGACGAUAACUGACGUUGAGGCUCGAAAGCGUGGGGAGCAAACAGGAUUAGAUACCCUGGUA